Silurus meridionalis is the source of this 1082-nucleotide long non-coding RNA. RefSeq lists it as uncharacterized. The transcript is spliced from 3 exons. Lineage: Eukaryota; Metazoa; Chordata; Actinopteri; Siluriformes; Siluridae. The record is from RefSeq and is a predicted model, not a curated record.
AACAGAAACAGCUGUGUAGGAGGCAUAAACCUGGCUUAGAACCUGGCCAAACUCUGCUUCUUAAGUGAGGUUGUGGAAGCCGAAGUUCAUACACCAUGGCAAGAAUGAGCACAGCAACAAGACACAAGAAAGAAGAGACUAUGUCUUCAUUGAGUCCUGAUAUGGAAAUAUCGGUGUGACUCCAUACCUGGAUAAGUAGUAGUACACUAUAUGGACAAAAGUAUUGGAACACCUGACUGGUUCUUUCUUAAACUGUUAUCAAAAUUUUAAGGAUGCCCAACCCUGUACCAGAUUGACCCUGUGCACAAAGCCAGCUCCAUGAAGAUAUGAUUUAAAUGGGUUGGAGUGGAAGAUCGUGUGUGGCCUGCUAAAAAAAGCAAUGACAUCAACCCUACUAAUUGCCUUUGAAAUUAAUUAGAAUGCUGACUGCACCCCAGGUCUCCCUUCCUCACCUACAUCAGUACCUGAAUUUACUAAAACCUUUGAAGCUGAAUGAGCACAAUUUUCCACAAACAUACUCUAAAAUUUAGUUCAACAUUUUCCCAGAACAUUUAUAGCAUUUAGCAGACUCGAACAAUAACAAGCAAUUUACAACUCACCAGAUGAGGAUUAAGGCCUUGCUCAAGGGCCCAGCAGUAACAGCUUGGAGAUGCUGGGAUUUGAACCUAUUACCUUCUAAUCCAGAGUCCAAUGUCGUAACCACUGAGCAACACCCUUCCCAGAAGAGUGGAGAUUUUUAUCAAAUGGGGACUAAAUUGAAAUAGGAUGUUCAGAAAGCACAUGUGAAUCUUAUGGUCAUGUGAAACUUUCCUCCAUCCAUAGAGUGUAUCUAUACUACCAUAGAUAGUACCAUAGCUUAGUCUUGUUUCAAUUACAUCUAUGCAAAUUUUAUUGUGACUUCAAAAUUUUCAUCCAAAUGUUUCUGCCAAGUGUUUUUGUUUGCAAUUAAAGUGUUUUUAUAGUGCAAUUUUGUGACAAAGUGCUUUAGGGAUAAAUUGACAUGAAAUAUAUUUCUAGUUUUCAAAUAGCAUAUGACAGAGAAACAGGAAUGUCUAGUUAUCCUUUUUUUUUAAAACAUUGUA